CCUACGGGAGGCAGCAGUGAGGAAUAUUGGUCAAUGGGCGGAAGCCUGAACCAGCCAAGUAGUGUGCGGGAUGAAGGCCCUACGGGUCGUAAACCGCUUUUGCACGGGGAUAACACCCGCCACUUGUGGAGGUCUGCAGGUACCGUGCGAAUAAGGGCCGGCUAAUUCCGUGCCAGCAGCCGCGGUAAUACGGAAGGCCCGAGCGUUAUCCGGAUUCAUUGGGCUUAAAGGGAGCGUAGGCGGGCGUUCAAGUCAGCGGGAAAAUCGCGCGGCUCAACCGCGCCCCGCAGUUGAAACUGGACGCCUUGAGUUCACAUCAGGCAGGCGGAAUUCGUGGUGUAGCGGUGAAAUGCAUAGAUAUCACGAGGAACCCCGAUUGCGAAGGCAGCCUGCCGGGGUGCGACUGACGCUGAGGCUCGAAGGUGCGGGUAUCAAACAGGAUUAGAUACCCUAGUAGUC
RNAcentral lists this ribosomal RNA (459 nucleotides) under uncultured bacterium. Its description in RNAcentral is "partial 16S ribosomal RNA". It matches the Rfam family "Bacterial small subunit ribosomal RNA", at positions 338 to 795 of the family's 1533-position model. The record is from RNAcentral.